RNAcentral lists this non-coding RNA (340 nucleotides) under Fragilariopsis kerguelensis. Lineage: Eukaryota; Bacillariophyta; Bacillariophyceae; Bacillariales; Bacillariaceae. The record is from RNAcentral.
CAUCAUCAUUAUCAUCAUUCUUGCACCAUCCUCAUGGUUUACCAAAACGCACCAUCAUCUACCACCACAAUCACCACCGAUCCGAGGGAUGGGUUCCUUCUUUUGCUGGUCUUGUUGUGUCAUGGCGUUGCUCGCACUCUCUUCAACAGGAAGACACAAGUCUAACAACUACUUGGUGUUAUUUGUCUCAAGAAGAAAAUGCUGCUGAUGUGGCGAAAGCAUCCCUGAUUUCCUCCUUUUCCAUGAUCCACGCGGAAUUGGGACACGGCAGCAAUUUGUGGGAUCCAUUGGCUUACUGCAGCGUGUUAUCCCGGGAUGAGGACAGGAAAGGUGACAGUAC